GGUCACUCAUGUCUGAAUUUCAGCUACCCUAUAAGGCUAUUAGUCAUGCAGAAUUCGAGGCACCCUUUGAAGAAGUGCCAGAAUUAUUUGUUGGCUGCAGGGUUUUCCUAAAAAAGGUUUUGCUUAUGUUGCGAUGCAUCAGAUGUGCAGUAACAUUUGAUAAAUGAUCUAAUAUCCCGCCUUGUG
Long non-coding RNA from Zingiber officinale, 186 nucleotides. RefSeq lists it as uncharacterized. NCBI's taxonomy places the organism in Eukaryota, Viridiplantae, Streptophyta, Magnoliopsida, Zingiberales, Zingiberaceae. The record is from RefSeq and is a predicted model, not a curated record. The transcript has 3 exons.